Molecule: transfer RNA, 71 nt
Filed under: Loxodonta africana (African savanna elephant)
Lineage: Eukaryota; Metazoa; Chordata; Mammalia; Proboscidea; Elephantidae
Rfam family: tRNA
About the family: Transfer RNA (tRNA) molecules are approximately 80 nucleotides in length. Their secondary structure includes four short double-helical elements and three loops (D, anti-codon, and T loops).
Source: Rfam by way of RNAcentral
GCAUUGGUGGUUCUGCAGUAGAAUUUCUACCUAUCACGUGGAAGACCCAGGUUUGAUUCCCAGCCAAUGCA